Molecule: long non-coding RNA, 839 nt
Organism: Arachis duranensis
Lineage: Eukaryota; Viridiplantae; Streptophyta; Magnoliopsida; Fabales; Fabaceae
Exons: 4
Source: RefSeq, a predicted model, not a curated record
CUCCAAAAGAUGAUUUCAUUUUUCUAAUUCUUUCCUCUAUUCAAGCUCUGAUGUCCAACGAUGAUCCCUCCUCCUGGUUGAUGAAGGUGUCGCUCAUCAUCUGGACUCCUCAAUUGCACGAGUUCUUUCUUACUGUGGUGUCCGCUGCUGCUGCCAUGGUAUGGUUACUGUUAUUGACGAGGCGGCUGCGACUAUGGGUUUCAUCUGUGACUAAGUUGUGAUGGUGGUGGUGGUGUCCGGAGGAGAAAGUACUGAAAAAAAGUAGAUUGGUGUAAAGAAUUGAGCAGCGGCCACAUAGAGGACAUGCACCGAGACUAGAAAAUCAGACAGCACAGCACCGGUGCUCAAGAAUAGAUUGGUUCGGGAAGCUGGUGGUGUCAGGUGGAAUUCCAUGGUCGAUGAUGUGAGCAAAGCAAACCUGAUCUUUAUUUCUAUUUUGUUAUUAUUUUUUCCAGAUAACGAUUACAUCCGCUUUUGAUGUUGUCUUGCUUUGUUUUAGGAUGCAUUAUCUAAUUCGUUAUUAUUAUCGUCUUUCAGGACAAAGCUCUAUACCAAGCAAAGAAUCGCAAGAACAAUGAAGUUACUGCAGAAUCUAUUGAGCCAUCAUCCUUAUCCCUGGAGAUGCUAGUGUUUCAAGAUGAUUUCAAUCCAGCUAGCAGCAAACAUUUAUACAUGCACUUGGGAAGUUAUUGCAAAAUCUUUUGAACUAGCAACAAACAUGAUUACAUGCACUUGGAGAAGCAGAUUUUGAUGCAUCAAUUUAUUUCCCUAUAAAUCAAUUAGUCAAUAUUACCAUGGAGUUGAACAUCUAUUCAACUAAUGCACUUCAAUUAUAGUUU